Molecule: ribosomal RNA, 388 nt
Filed under: Gephyrocapsa cf. muellerae
Lineage: Eukaryota; Haptophyta; Isochrysidales; Noelaerhabdaceae
Description: partial small subunit ribosomal RNA
Rfam family: Eukaryotic small subunit ribosomal RNA
Source: RNAcentral
AUUCCAGCUCCAAUAGCGUAUAUUAAAGUUGUUGCAGUUAAAACGCUCGUAGUCGGAUUUCGGGGCGGGCCGACCGGUCUGCCGAUGGGUAUGCACUGGCCGGCGCGUCCUUCCACCCGGAGACCGCGCCUACUCUUAACUGAGCGGGCGCGGGAGACGGGUCUUUUACUUUGAAAAAAUCAGAGUGUUUCAAGCAGGCAGUCGCUCUUGCAUGGAUUAGCAUGGGAUAAUGAAAUAGGACUCUGGUGCUAUUUUGUUGGUUUCGAACACCGGAGUAAUGAUUAACAGGGACAGUCUGGGGCACUCGUAUUCCGCCGAGAGAGGUGAAAUUCUUGGACCGUUUGAAGACGAACUAAGGCGAAAGCAUUUGCCAAGAGUGUUUUCAUUA